GGACCCGCACAAGCGGUGGAUGAUGUGGAUUAAUUCGAUGCAACGCGAAAAACCUUACCUACACUUGACAUGCCCGGAAUCUCGCAGAGAUGUGAGAGUGCCCGAAAGGGAACCGGGACACAGGUGCUGCAUGGCUGUCGUCAGCUCGUGUCGUGAGAUGUUGGGUUAAGUCCCGCAACGAGCGCAACCCUUGUCACUAGUUGCUACGAAAGGGCACUCUAGUGAGACUGCCGGUGACAAACCGGAGGAAGGUGGGGAUGACGUCAAGUCCUCAUGGCCCUUAUGUGUAGGGCUUCACACGUCAUACAAUGGCCGGUACAAAGGGCUGCCAACCCGCGAGGGGGAGCCAAUCCCAGAAAACCGGUCGUAGUCCGGAUUGCAGUCUGCAACUCGACUGCAUGAAGUCGGAAUCGCUAGUAAUCGCGGAUCAGCAUGUCGCGGUGAAUACGUUCCCGGGUCUU
This 461-nucleotide ribosomal RNA is filed under the name uncultured bacterium. RNAcentral describes it as "bacterial SSU rRNA". It matches the Rfam family "Bacterial small subunit ribosomal RNA", at positions 917 to 1382 of the family's 1533-position model. The record is from RNAcentral.